Macaca fascicularis (crab-eating macaque) is the source of this 2775-nucleotide long non-coding RNA. The record is from Ensembl. NCBI's taxonomy places the organism in Eukaryota, Metazoa, Chordata, Mammalia, Primates, Cercopithecidae.
ACGCGAGGCCUGUGAAGGCGCUUCCCUUCCUUGACUUUUUGGGUUUGGCUCCCGCUUUGAUUUGAGCCAGAGGCACCACAGAUAAUUACAAAGCCGUGUAAGGAGGGAGGCAUAGUGAGAUGGCUGAAUAGAAGCCUCCACUGAUUGUCCCUGCAACAGGAACACCAAACAUAACAACAAUCCACACAAAAAAGCACCUUCAUAGGAACAGAAAAUGAGGUGAGUGAUCACAGUACCUGGUUUUAACUUCAUAUUGCUGAAAGAGGCAUUGAAGAGGGUAGGAAAGACAGCCUUGAGUUGCUGAUACCACCUCACUCUCAUCCUUCUGGCAACAGCCACAUGGCAUGAAGAGAAUCUGUAUGCUUGUGGGAGGGACAGUGCAGUGACUGAGGGGCUUUACAUUGAAACUCAGUGCUGUGCUGUCACAGUGGAAAGCAACACCAGGCUGAACUCGGCUGAUAUCCAUGGAGGGAGCAUAGACAGGCCCUAGCCAAAGGGGAAUUACCCAUCUCAGCAAUCAGAACUUGAGUUUUGACAAGCCUUGCCACUGCUGGGUAAAGGGCUCUGGAGUCCUAAAAUAAACUUGAAAGUCUGCCUAGGCCACAAGGACUGCAACUCCUGGGCAAGUCCUAGCCGUGUGCUGGGCUCAGAGCCAGUGGAUGUGGGGGAUAAGCAACCUAGUGAGACACCAGACAGGGCAGCCAAGGGAGUGCUUUACCACCCCUCCCCCAGCCUCAGGUAGCACAGCUUGCUCCUCCAAAAGAGACUCCUUCCUUCCACUUGAGGAGAGGAGAGGGAAGAGUAAAGAGGACUUUGUCUUGCAACUUGGAUAUCAUCUCAGCCACAACAGGAUAGGGCAUUGGACAGAGUUGUGAGGCCCCCAUUCCAGGCCCUAGCUCUCAGAUGAUAUUGCUAGAUAUACCCUACACCAGAAGGGACACUGCUGCCUUGAAAGAAGAAAGGACCCAGUCCUGGGCAGGAUUCGUCACCUGCUGACUAAAGAGCCCUUGGGCCCUGAAUAAUCAGCAGUGGUAGCCCAGUAAUACAUUCUAUGGGCCUUGGGUGAGACUCUGAGAUGUGCUGGCUUUCAGUGUAACCCAGCACAUUUCCAGCUGUGGUGGCUAUGAGGAGAGACUCCUUCUGCUUGAGAAAAGCAGAGGGAAGAGUAAAGGGGACUUUGUCCUACAGCCUAGGUGUCAGCUCAGCCACAGUGGGGUAGAGCACCAAAUGGGCUUUGGGGGUCCCUGCUUCUAGGUCUUGGUUCUUGGGCAGCAUUUCUGGACCUGCCCUAGGUCAGAGGAGAGCCCACUGCCCUGAAGGGUGAGCGUCAGGCCUGGCAGCAUUCACCAAAAGCUGACUGAAGAAGAGCUGUUGGGCCUUAAGUGAACAUUGGUGGUAGGCUGGCAGUACUCUCUGUGGGUCUGUAAUGGUGACAGCCAUGGAUAGAGACUCCACUCCACAUGGAAAGGGGAGGGAAAGUGGGAAGGACUGUGUCUUACGUUUUGUAUGCCAACUCAGCCAGUAGAGUAGAGCACCAGGUAGAUUUCUAAGGUUUCCAAUUCCAGACCCUGGCUACCAGACUGCAUCUCUGGACCCAUCAAGGGCCUGGAAGAACUCACUGCCCUGAAAGGAAGAACACAAGCCUAGUUGGCUUUCCCACGUGCUGAUUGUAGAGGGCCUUGAACAAACAUAGGUAGUAGCCAGGUAGUAGUUACUGGGCAAGAUCCAGUGCUGUGUCUGACCCAGUGUAGUUUCAGUGUUGGUAGCCACAGGGUGCUUGUGUCACUCCUCCCCUAGCUCCAGGCAGCACAGCAUAAAGAGAGAGACUCCAUUUGUCUGGGAGAAAGUAAGGGAAGAGAACAAGGUCUCUGCCUGGUAAUCCACAGAACACUUCUGGAUCUUAUCUAAGACCACCAAGGUGGUAUCUCUAUGAGUCUGAGCGCUACUGGGCUUGGGGUGUUCCCUAAAGCAGAUACAGCUGUAAUGACUAAAAAUUUAGUUUACAAUACCCAAUUUCUUUUGAAUACCUGGAAAGCCUUCCCAAUAAGGGUGGGUACAAAUAAGCCCAAACUGUGAAGACUACAAUAAAUAACUCUUCAAUGCCCAGACACUAAAAAAACAUCCACAGGCAUCAUGGCCAUCUAGGAAAACAUGACCUCACCAAACACACUAAAUAAAAGACUAAGGACUAAUUCCAAGGAGACAGAAAUAUGUGACCUUUCAGACAGAGAAGUCAAAAUAGCUGUUUUGAAGAAACUUGAAGAAAUUCGAGAUAACACAGAGAAGGAAUUCAGAAUCCUAUCAGAUAAAUUUAACAAAGAGAUGGAAAUAGUUAAAAAAAAUCAAGCAGAAAUUCUGGAGUUGAAAAUGCAAUUGACAUACUGAAGAAUACAUCAGGGUCUCUUAAUAGCAGAAGUGAUCAAACAGAAGAAAGAACUAGUGAGCUUGAAGAGAGAGUAUUUGAAAAUACACAGGCAGAGGAGAUGAAAGAAGUAAGAAUAAAAGAGAAUGGAUCAAAGAGGGCAGAUCAUCUGAGGUCAGGAGUUCGAGAUCAGCCUGGCCAAUGUGGUGAAAUCCUGUCUCUACUAAAAAUACAGAAAUUAGCUGGGUGUGGUGGCUCACCCUUGUAGUCCCAGCUACUUGAGAGGCUGAGGCAGGAGAAUGACUUGAACCCGGGAGGCGGAGAUUGCAAUGAGUUGAGAUUCCACCACUGCACUCCAGCCUGGGUGACAGAGUGAGACUCUGUCUCAAAAAAGAAAGAAAGAAAAAAAAAAA